GAUGAACGCUGGCGGCGUGCCUAAUACAUGCAAGUCGAGCGAACGGACGAGAAGCUUGCUUCUCUGAUGUUAGCGGCGGACGGGUGAGUAACACGUGGAUAACCUACCUAUAAGACUGGGAUAACUUCGGGAAACCGGAGCUAAUACCGGAUAAUAUUUUGAACCGCAUGGUUCAAAAGUGAAAGACGGUCUUGCUGUCACUUAUAGAUGGAUCCGCGCUGCAUUAGCUAGUUGGUAAGGUAACGGCUUACCAAGGCAACGAUGCAUAGCCGACCUGAGAGGGUGAUCGGCCACACUGGAACUGAGACACGGUCCAGACUCCUACGGGAGGCAGCAGUAGGGAAUCUUCCGCAAUGGGCGAAAGCCUGACGGAGCAACGCCGCGUGAGUGAUGAAGGUCUUCGGAUCGUAAAACUCUGUUAUUAGGGAAGAACAUAUGUGUAAGUAACUGUGCACAUCUUGACGGUACCUAAUCAGAAAGCCACGGCUAACUACGUGCCAGCAGCCGCGGUAAUACGUAGGUGGCAAGCGUUAUCCGGAAUUAUUGGGCGUAAAGCGCGCGUAGGCGGUUUUUUAAGUCUGAUGUGAAAGCCCACGGCUCAACCGUGGAGGGUCAUUGGAAACUGGAAAACUUGAGUGCAGAAGAGGAAAGUGGAAUUCCAUGUGUAGCGGUGAAAUGCGCAGAGAUAUGGAGGAACACCAGUGGCGAAGGCGACUUUCUGGUCUGUAACUGACGCUGAUGUGCGAAAGCGUGGGGAUCAAACAGGAUUAGAUACCCUGGUAGUCCACGCCGUAAACGAUGAGUGCUAAGUGUUAGGGGGUUUCCGCCCCUUAGUGCUGCAGCUAACGCAUUAAGCACUCCGCCUGGGGAGUACGACCGCAAGGUUGAAACUCAAAGGAAUUGACGGGGACCCGCACAAGCGGUGGAGCAUGUGGUUUAAUUCGAAGCAACGCGAAGAACCUUACCAAAUCUUGACAUCCUUUGACAACUCUAGAGAUAGAGCCUUCCCCUUCGGGGGACAAAGUGACAGGUGGUGCAUGGUUGUCGUCAGCUCGUGUCGUGAGAUGUUGGGUUAAGUCCCGCAACGAGCGCAACCCUUAAGCUUAGUUGCCAUCAUUAAGUUGGGCACUCUAAGUUGACUGCCGGUGACAAACCGGAGGAAGGUGGGGAUGACGUCAAAUCAUCAUGCCCCUUAUGAUUUGGGCUACACACGUGCUACAAUGGACAAUACAAAGGGCAGCGAAACCGCGAGGUCAGGCAAAUCCCAUAAAGUUGUUCUCAGUUCGGAUUGCAGUCUGCAACUCGACUACACGAAGCUGGAAUCGCUAGUAAUCGUAGAUCAGCAUGCUACGGUGAAUACGUUCCCGGGUCU
RNAcentral lists this ribosomal RNA (1372 nucleotides) under uncultured bacterium. Its description in RNAcentral is "bacterial SSU rRNA". It matches the Rfam family "Bacterial small subunit ribosomal RNA", at positions 28 to 1381 of the family's 1533-position model. The record is from RNAcentral.